UACGAAGGGGGCUAGCGUUGUUCGGAAUUACUGGGCGUAAAGCGCGCGCAGGCGGUCUUCCAAGUCAGUGGUGAAAGCCUGGAGCUCAACUCCAGAACUGCCAUUGAAACUGUUAGACUUGAGUACGAGAGAGGUGAGUGGAAUUCCCAGUGUAGAGGUGAAAUUCGUAGAUAUCUGGAAGAACACCAAUGGCGAAGGCAAUGUUCUGGCUCGUUUCUGACGCUCAGGUGCGAAAGCCAGGGGAGCGAACGGG
RNAcentral lists this ribosomal RNA (253 nucleotides) under uncultured bacterium. RNAcentral describes it as "partial 16S ribosomal RNA". It matches the Rfam family "Bacterial small subunit ribosomal RNA", at positions 524 to 776 of the family's 1533-position model. The record is from RNAcentral.